RNAcentral lists this transfer RNA (90 nucleotides) under Betaproteobacteria bacterium CG2_30_68_42. RNAcentral's name for it is "tRNA-Ser". It matches the Rfam family "tRNA". Rfam says of the family: Transfer RNA (tRNA) molecules are approximately 80 nucleotides in length. Their secondary structure includes four short double-helical elements and three loops (D, anti-codon, and T loops). The record is from RNAcentral. RNAcentral also lists the same sequence under 5 other names. Lineage: Bacteria; Pseudomonadati; Pseudomonadota; Betaproteobacteria.
GGAGAGGUGCCGGAGCGGUCGAACGGGCCGGUCUCGAAAACCGGAGUAGGGGCAACUCUACCGUGGGUUCGAAUCCCACCCUCUCCGCCA